RNAcentral lists this long non-coding RNA (539 nucleotides) under Oryza sativa (Asian cultivated rice). RNAcentral describes it as "long non-coding RNA (OSAT_LNC000174)". The record is from RNAcentral. Lineage: Eukaryota; Viridiplantae; Streptophyta; Magnoliopsida; Poales; Poaceae.
AGAAGACAAUUUUGUUCACAGACUUCAAUGUUUAUUAGGGGCAUUACUGCAAGAUGAACCUGCUGAACUUGAAAUAUCAUGGUAUUCUUGAUGACUGAAAGGUACACUCCUUCGCGUCCAUAGUGUUAAAUCUGUGAGAUAGUUCAUGCCUCAUUUCUUUGGGUGGUACUUGUUAAUAUUUUGCUCACAAAUUUUUUUUUUGUUGCUAGCCUCUUCACAAACAGUGAUAUAUUUUCAAUUCAAAUGGCCAGAUAACCCACAGCAUUAAUUUUCAUAUGCUAUGCGUUGGAAUUACUAUUUCCAUGAUCAAUAGUCGACCCCAUGUUGGUAAACUUGUCAAUCUUUUCUUGACGAAAACAUUUUAUUAGUAGUUUUUUUCUGCUCCACUUAUUUUUCUGUAGACUAAUAAAGUUUCUUUAUACUGCUGUUUCAUUGUCUAAAAGGUAUGUGAAGAUGAUGAUAAACAACUGAAUGGUUCAUCGAAUCUGGAGCAAUGGGGAGAUGCUAUGCCUGUUUAUGACACUCUAGCUGAAAUUGUA